UCCCUGGAGGACUAGUGGUUAGGCCACAGUGCUCUCACUGCUGUGGCCCAGGUUCAAUUCCCAGCCGGGGAA
This 72-nucleotide transfer RNA is filed under the name Pangasianodon gigas (Mekong giant catfish). Its description in RNAcentral is "tRNA-Glu". It matches the Rfam family "tRNA". From Rfam's summary of the family: Transfer RNA (tRNA) molecules are approximately 80 nucleotides in length. Lineage: Eukaryota; Metazoa; Chordata; Actinopteri; Siluriformes; Pangasiidae. The record is from RNAcentral.